Molecule: small nuclear RNA, 104 nt
Organism: Nycticebus coucang (slow loris)
Lineage: Eukaryota; Metazoa; Chordata; Mammalia; Primates; Lorisidae
Source: RefSeq, a predicted model, not a curated record
GUGCUCACUUUGAUGGUACAUAUACUAAAAUUGGGACUAUGCAGAGAUUAGCGUGCUCCCUGCACAAAGAUGCCAUGCAGAUUUGUGAAGCAUUUUGCAUUUUU